Molecule: long non-coding RNA, 606 nt
Organism: Nestor notabilis (Kea)
Lineage: Eukaryota; Metazoa; Chordata; Aves; Psittaciformes; Psittacidae
Exons: 5
Source: RefSeq, a predicted model, not a curated record
GCCCACCCGCAGCCAUCAGCCGCGGGGAGGCCGCCGGAUGGCCGCGUCUUCCACCCCAGCUAACCCGCGAUCUCCCCUAACUCUUCUUUCCCGCGCAGGGUGGAGCUAUGCAGUUUCAGCGGGUACAAGAUCUACCCCGGCCAUGGGCGCCGCUAUGCCCGCACCGACGGCAAGGUUUUUCAGUUCUUGAAUGCAAAAUGUGAGUCUGCAUUCCUUUCCAAGAGAAACCCUCGCCAAAUCAACUGGACUGUUCUGUACAGGCGGAAACACAAGAAAGGACAGUCAGAAGAGAUACAAAAGAAGCGCACGCGUCGUGCUGUAAAGUUUCAGAGAGCCAUCACUGGUGCGUCUUUAGCUGAGAUUAUGGCUAAGCGAAAUCAGAAGCCUGAAGUACGAAAGGCGCAGAGGGAACAAGCUAUUAGGGCUGCGAAAGAAGCCAAGAAGGCGAAGCAGGCAACCAAGAAAACGGCUGUUUCUGCUGCAAAGGCUCCUACAAAGGCGGCACCUAAGCAGAAGAUUGUGAAACCAGUCAAGGUUUCUGCUCCGCGUGUUGGUGGAAAGCGCUAAUUUGCCAAACUGUUAGUCGUGCUGAAUAAACAUCUGACU